RNAcentral lists this ribosomal RNA (520 nucleotides) under uncultured bacterium. RNAcentral describes it as "bacterial SSU rRNA". It matches the Rfam family "Bacterial small subunit ribosomal RNA", at positions 555 to 1074 of the family's 1533-position model. The record is from RNAcentral.
UGGGCGUAAAGCGAGCGCAGGCGGUUAGAUAAGUCUGAAGUUAAAGGCUGUGGCUUAACCAUAGUACGCUUUGGAAACUGUUUAACUUGAGUGCAGAAGGGGAGAGUGGAAUUCCAUGUGUAGCGGUGAAAUGCGUAGAUAUAUGGAGGAACACCGGUGGCGAAAGCGGCUCUCUGGUCUGUAACUGACGCUGAGGCUCGAAAGCGUGGGGAGCGAACAGGAUUAGAUACCCUGGUAGUCCACGCCGUAAACGAUGAGUGCUAGGUGUUAGGCCCUUUCCGGGGCUUAGUGCCGCAGCUAACGCAUUAAGCACUCCGCCUGGGGAGUACGACCGCAAGGUUGAAACUCAAAGGAAUUGACGGGGGCCCGCACAAGCGGUGGAGCAUGUGGUUUAAUUCGAAGCAACGCGAAGAACCUUACCAGGUCUUGACAUCCCGAUGCCCGCUCUAGAGAUAGAGUUUUACUUCGGUACAUCGGUGACAGGUGGUGCAUGGUUGUCGUCAGCUCGUGUCGUGAGAAG